ACACUCCUACGGGAGGCAGCAGUGGGGAAUUUUGGACAAUGGGCGAAAGCCUGAUCCAGCAAUGCCGCGUGCAGGAUGAAGGCCUUCGGGUUGUAAACUGCUUUUGUACGGAACGAAAAAGCUCCUUCUAAUACAGGGGGCCCAUGACGGUACCGUAAGAAUAAGCACCGGCUAACUACGUGCCAGCAGCCGCGGUAAUACGUAGGGUGCGAGCGUUAAUCGGAAUUACUGGGCGUAAAGCGUGCGCAGGCGGUUAUGUAAGACAGAUGUGAAAUCCCCGGGCUCAACCUGGGAACUGCAUUUGUGACUGCAUGGCUAGAGUACGGUAGAGGGGGAUGGAAUUCCGCGUGUAGCAGUGAAAUGCGUAGAUAUGCGGAGGAACACCGAUGGCGAAGGCAAUCCCCUGGACCUGUACUGACGCUCAUGCACGAAAGCGUGGGGAGCAAACAGGAUUAGAUACCCCAGUAGUCCCAUGA
This 476-nucleotide ribosomal RNA is filed under the name uncultured organism. RNAcentral's name for it is "partial 16S ribosomal RNA". It matches the Rfam family "Bacterial small subunit ribosomal RNA", at positions 333 to 800 of the family's 1533-position model. The record is from RNAcentral.